UAGGGAAUCUUCGGCAAUGGGGGGAACCCUGACCGAGCAACGCCGCGUGAGUGAAGAAGGUUUUCGGAUCGUAAAGCUCUGUUGUUAAGGAAGAACGAGUGUGAGAAUGGAAAGUUCAUGCUGUGACGGUACUUAACCAGAAAGGGACGGCUAACUACGUGCCAGCAGCCGCGGUAAUACGUAGGUCCCGAGCGUUGUCCGGAUUUAUUGGGCGUAAAGCGAGCGCAGGCGGUUAGAAAAGUCUGAAGUGAAAGGCAGUGGCUCAACCAUUGUAGGCUUUGGAAACUGUUUAACUUGAGUGCAGAAGGGGAGAGUGGAAUUCCAUGUGUAGCGGUGAAAUGCGUAGAUAUAUGGAGGAACACCGGUGGCGAAAGCGGCUCUCUGGUCUGUACUGACGCUGAGGCUCGAAAGCGUGGGGAGCGAACAGG
Molecule: ribosomal RNA, 428 nt
Filed under: Bacteroidota bacterium
Lineage: Bacteria; Pseudomonadati; Bacteroidota
Description: Bacteroidetes bacterium partial 16S ribosomal RNA
Rfam family: Bacterial small subunit ribosomal RNA
Source: RNAcentral